GUCUGAACCUUCGGGGAACGAUAACGGCGUCGAGCGGCGGACGGGUGAGUAAUGCCUGGGAAAUUGCCCUGAUGUGGGGGAUAACCAUUGGAAACGAUGGCUAAUACCGCAUAAUAGCUUCGGCUCAAAGAGGGGGACCUUCGGGCCUCUCGCGUCAGGAUAUGCCCAGGUGGGAUUAGCUAGUUGGUGAGGUAAUGGCUCACCAAGGCGACGAUCCCUAGCUGGUCUGAGAGGAUGAUCAGCCACACUGGAACUGAGACACGGUCCAGACUCCUACGGGAGGCAGCAGUGGGGAAUAUUGCACAAUGGGCGCAAGCCUGAUGCAGCCAUGCCGCGUGUAUGAAGAAGGCCUUCGGGUUGUAAAGUACUUUCAGCAGUGAGGAAGGCGGGUGUGUUAAUAGCACAUUCGUUUGACGUUAGCUGCAGAAGAAGCACCGGCUAACUCCGUGCCAGCAGCCGCGGUAAUACGGAGGGUGCGAGCGUUAAUCGGAAUUACUGGGCGUAAAGCGCAUGCAGGUGGUUUGUUAAGUCAGAUGUGAAAGCCCGGGGCUCAACCUCGGAAUUGCAUUUGAAACUGGCAGACUAGAGUACUGUAGAGGGGGGUAGAAUUUC
RNAcentral lists this ribosomal RNA (612 nucleotides) under uncultured Vibrio sp. Its description in RNAcentral is "bacterial SSU rRNA". It matches the Rfam family "Bacterial small subunit ribosomal RNA", at positions 65 to 670 of the family's 1533-position model. Lineage: Bacteria; Pseudomonadati; Pseudomonadota; Gammaproteobacteria; Vibrionales; Vibrionaceae. The record is from RNAcentral.